GCGAGUAGUUUAAUGGAUAGAACACCGCUUUGCCGAAGACGGAGGUGGGGGUUCGAUUCCCUCCUGGU
Molecule: transfer RNA, 68 nt
Filed under: Nostoc linckia z1
Lineage: Bacteria; Bacillati; Cyanobacteriota; Cyanophyceae; Nostocales; Nostocaceae
Description: tRNA-Gly
Rfam family: tRNA
About the family: Transfer RNA (tRNA) molecules are approximately 80 nucleotides in length. Their secondary structure includes four short double-helical elements and three loops (D, anti-codon, and T loops).
Source: RNAcentral